RNAcentral lists this long non-coding RNA (411 nucleotides) under Trifolium pratense (red clover). Its description in RNAcentral is "long non-coding RNA (TPRA_LNC008549)". The record is from RNAcentral. Lineage: Eukaryota; Viridiplantae; Streptophyta; Magnoliopsida; Fabales; Fabaceae.
AACAACCCUGGGAGUUAUAUAAGUCAGAAUUCGUCCCUUUACAAGUGAAAGUAAGGAGCUAUUUAUAGAGCUUCUAGUCUUCUUCUCCAAGCAAGGGCUCCUAAAAAUCCGGUCUUCAGCGCCUUUUCCGGUGAUGCAGCGUGAAAGUAGGAAUACAACCUUGGUCUCCAAGCCAUGGCAGUUUCAAGGAGUUGGUUUCUUCAUUCCCAAGUUAAUCGCUAAGGCAGAGAAGGAUGAAGAUAUUUUGUUAUCGUGUGUAAAUCCAUCUUAUGGGCGGUAUCCUUCAUUGCCUACCUCGCCUAGGCCUUAUGUCGCCAAAUGGACACUCAGAAUUUAAUUGUUUUGGGCCUGUUUCCUUUCUUAUAUUAAUUGGGCUAGUUUGAUUUUGCCUUUAAGCCCAUUGCCCAGUCC